This 505-nucleotide ribosomal RNA is filed under the name uncultured bacterium. RNAcentral's name for it is "partial 16S ribosomal RNA". It matches the Rfam family "Bacterial small subunit ribosomal RNA", at positions 28 to 507 of the family's 1533-position model. The record is from RNAcentral.
GACGAACGCUGGCGGCGUGCCUAAUACAUGCAAGUAGAACGCACAGUUUAUACCGUAGCUUGCUACACCAUAGACUGUGAGUUGCGAACGGGUGAGUAACGCGUAGGUAACCUGCCUGGUAGCGGGGGAUAACUAUUGGAAACGAUAGCUAAUACCGCAUAAUAUCGAUUAUUGCAUGAUAAUUGAUUGAAAGAUGCUAUUGCAUCACUACCAGAUGGACCUGCGUUGUAUUAGCUAGUAGGUGAGGUAACGGCUCACCUAGGCGACGAUACAUAGCCGACCUGAGAGGGUGAUCGGCCACACUGGGACUGAGACACGGCCCAGACUCCUACGGGAGGCAGCAGUAGGGAAUCUUCGGCAAUAGACGAAAGUCUGACCGAGCAACGCCGCGUGAGUGAAGAAGGUUUUCGGAUCGUAAAGCUCUGUUGUAAGAGAAGAACGGGUGUGAGAGUGGAAAGUUCACACUGUGACGGUAUCUUACCAGAAAGGGACGGCUAACUACGUG